CAUCAUCAUCAUCAUCAUCAGAUGCCUACUACUGGGCCCAUUUAUACAAGUUGCCAGGCACAAAAACAUGGCUUCGACCAAAUUUGUUAAUUUCCUAUCAUAUAAUUAUAGGGUGUUUCCUAUUUGCAGAGUCUUAGGGGUCAUGUGUUGCUUAUUUUCUUUAGAAAAUGAAAUAGCAGUAACAGACAACAAGUGACCACCCAACUCAUAACAUGCACAAGAAUUUUAUGAUAUCAUGGCUAAAAUCUAUUUUAUAUGGGAGACAACCUCGCCCCUUUGAUUUAUUAUUACAGAGUCAUAUAUAUGCAACAUGAUCAUUAUAGAAAAUCUUAUUCUGUCAGCCUGAUCAAGUUUUAUAGAAUGAUGAGCAUUUGAUUAAUCAUCAUCCAUGAUGAUGAAGAUCAAUUUGACAUAAAUUGAUUUUUUUUAUAAUUUACUAAACAAAGACAUUCAGAAAGGAGAAAUUCAAAAGCUACAGCAUAGACUACUUUAGGGUUUUUAUGAAAUGCUGACUAUAAUUAUUUACAAUUGAUAGAGUUUUCUAUGUGAUCGAUGUCUCAUAUCAACUUGAUAGUAGUAACAUGAUGAUUUUAACUAGCAUCCAAUAAAGCCCAAAACUAAAGCCUAGGGCACAUAUUUAACUGAGGCAUCAUAACAGGACAGCCGCAUUUGUGCUAGUGGACCAAUAGUACCAACGCCAUAAAAUGCUCUGUGCUCCAACAGAAACACACCAAUAGAAAGGAACUCAUAACCAUAUAUGGCAAAACUGAUGACUAAUGCAUUUCAGUAACUUAUAAUUUAAGGUUUCAAAGAAAUCUCUGAAUCAAAUGAAUGCCACGGUCAAUAGAAACCCCAUUAUAAACAGCUAACAAUUAUUCUCUUAAACUGCACAGAAGGGUACCAAGUAGCUAGGCUCCACUUUUAUUGUGAAGCACAGCAUGUAAACCCACUCUCAGACAGCACCAUAAAACAUAUCUAGCCUGUGUGAAUUCGUUCUCUUUACUCAAAGUAAUCUAAUGUAGUUUAUUCACAUUCCAUGAAAGUGUUUCAUUCCCAUAAUAAUCAUGUUGCAUGCACAUGCAAGAGCUAUAUUAGAAGAUGACAUGAAUCUUAGAAACUGUAAGGUUACCUUUUCGUGACUUGGAGGUUAUGAGUCCAAAACACUGAAACAGCCUCUUCAAAUGCAAAGGGAAGGCUGUGAAAAUCUGACUGUUACUAGAGCCUUUAAUGUGGAGAGUCUUGUGCAUUGGGAUACCUUAACACAAGAUUAGCAUUAAAGUUUUUGUGCUUUUCUACCCCCUGCUGCCCAGUUAAAUGGCCGCAUUUUAGAUUAAAGAGACCUUAUGAUGCGUCAAAAAUAUAUACUGUAAACUUCCCUAUAGGUGAACAACUUUAUUAGAUGCUUCCAUAAAGGAAUACGCAAAAUUUGCAACCAUAUACAGUCAACACUUUCCAAAAAUCUGUAAUACAAUGCUUUAUAUGCUGAUCCCAGUUCUGCUUAAACAUCAGCUCAGAGAAAAAGAAAUCUACAUAUUAAGCACAACAAUAUUGCAGUAAGCCAAGGAACACAUUAUCAACUGAAUCCAGCCAAGGAACAGGUUAUUAAUAGAGUGUUCCUUUCUAGGGCUAUAUCAUGUCAACCUUCUCCUCCUAGGUUCACGGUAAAAUCCAUUGUCUACAUCUGAAACUCUGGGAAAUUCACUUCUUCUCCUAGAAGAUGAAGAAUGGGGCAUGGUUGAAUUGACUUCUAUACUAUUGUCCCCUUCUGAAAUUCUUGAAACUUCAGCUCUUCUCCUAAAAGAUAAUGAAGAAAUGGCCACAACAUUAUUGUUUUCUACAGAAGUAUCUGUUCUCUGGUUUUCUAAUUGCACAACAGUGGCAGUAGUAUUAGUGCUGAAAGAUGAAGCAGGACGGGCCAUUGUAGAAUCAGUAUCAGCAGCAUUAUUUACAAGUUGUCUAUCUCGUUGAAUAGCAGCAGCAAUGUUAGAAACUGAACCUCUAUCAACAACACUUGCGGAUCGUUGAUGGUUUCUUCUUAUACGACGCCUAUGAAUAGAUGCCUCAAGGUCCUCAACCAAUCUUUCCACAGAAUCCAUUGCAGAGUUCAGUGCAGAUGAAAGAGAAGAAAACGAAGCUGCUCCUUGCAUCAAUAACCUUGAAUCUUGAAAGGGAUGAUGUUGCUGACUGUCCUCUAUCCGCAUGGCAGGCAACACCUGAGAAGUAAAGGAUUGACUGGCGAAGAAACGCCCUCUUUCAGGCAUGUAAGAAGCACCGUCAAGAUCUUGUGACUGAGAUCUCUCCUCCAUGGCAACAAUCAUAUCCAAUAGCCGAAUAUUUUGAACAACCACAGAAGAAAUUGCUCUAUGAUUGUUGAGUUGCUGCCUCAGACUCUCAAUCCUAUGUGCCUGGGGCCUAGGAGGGACCUUCAAACCAGUCUCCUUCAACCUAGACUUCUGGGUAUUGUUAUCAUUUCCAUUGCCAUAAAUUGGAAUAAUGCUUAUAUCUGUAACCUCUUUCAUACAAACUGGGCAUUCCUUCACAUUCAAAUGAACAUAUGAUAACUGAUAGAAGCAUGGCCAACAAAAAAGGUGACCACAAUGGGUCAAUAUGGGAUCUCUUGCCAUAUCUAGGCAUAUGUUACAAUCAAAAAAGUUCCCACGAUCACUUCUGGUAUUCGUUGCAUCUGUAUCCAUGCCCAGUGCCCUAGCUAUCAGAUGUGUACCAUUCCUUUUCAUAAUUCUUCUGGCCCCAAAUGUCCUUUCCUGGGUUGCAACUGCAACUCUCUCAGCAAGCGUUGUAUCAUCACUGUGAAACCCAUUGGGUGUAGGUUCAACAGCAAAGUUGACUGUUUGAUGGGUAGUUUCACUUUGUCUCCAUCUUUGGCGUUGUCUAGCCCUUGAGGUGACUGCUUCAAGUUGUCUGAUACGUUCUUCUAUGUGCCCAUGAGCAGUUUCUAAUUCGUUCAGUAAAGACCCUAAUCCAAAGAUAGAGCCAUGGGGAGAGUCCAAAGGUUCUUGGUUCAAAUCAAGCUCCAUUCUCUCUUUCCUGACUAAUAAUUGCC
Molecule: unclassified non-coding RNA, 3061 nt
Filed under: Hevea brasiliensis (rubber tree)
Lineage: Eukaryota; Viridiplantae; Streptophyta; Magnoliopsida; Malpighiales; Euphorbiaceae
Source: RNAcentral